AUGCCUUAAACUUCAUGAGUAAGGAAAAUAACAAUUCAGGGUGACACCUGAAUCCUCCCAGCUAAUGUGAGAUGGAUUUUUGAGCAAGUAAAGGUUGCCCCUAAUGUGACUCACCUACUUUGUGAGAUGUUUGAGAGUCACGAUCUGUCCA
Molecule: small nuclear RNA, 151 nt
Gene: U12
Rfam family: U12 minor spliceosomal RNA
About the family: Although the U12 sequence is very divergent from that of U2, the two are functionally analogous.
Source: Ensembl